UUUUAUUUUAGUUGCGUGGUAUGUACAUUGUUGAACAGUUAUCUUGUAUUUUUUUUGUCUAGUCUUUAAGUUGUCUGUGUAUCGAUGUAUGUAUGUGAGUGUGAAUAAACGAUUAUUAUUAUUAUUAUUAUAAUCAUUAAAAAAUAUUUUAAAUUG
Melitaea cinxia (Glanville fritillary) is the source of this 156-nucleotide long non-coding RNA. RefSeq lists it as uncharacterized. Lineage: Eukaryota; Metazoa; Arthropoda; Insecta; Lepidoptera; Nymphalidae. The transcript has 3 exons. The record is from RefSeq and is a predicted model, not a curated record.